UACGAAGGGAGCUAGCGUUGUUCGGAAUUACUGGGCGUAAAGCGCACGUAGGCGGACAUUUAAGUCAGGGGUGAAAUCCCAGAGCUCAACUCUGGAACUGCCUUGGAUACUGUGAGGCUAGAGUCCGGAAGAGGCGAGUGGAAUUCCUGGUGUAGCGGUGAAAUGCGCAGAUAUCAGGAGGAACACCGAUGGCGAAGGCAGCUCGCUGGGACGGUACUGACGCUGAGGCGCGAAAGCGUGGGGAGCAAACAGG
RNAcentral lists this ribosomal RNA (253 nucleotides) under uncultured bacterium. RNAcentral's name for it is "partial 16S ribosomal RNA". It matches the Rfam family "Bacterial small subunit ribosomal RNA", at positions 524 to 776 of the family's 1533-position model. The record is from RNAcentral.